Molecule: RNA transcript, 1853 nt
Organism: Chenopodium quinoa (quinoa)
Lineage: Eukaryota; Viridiplantae; Streptophyta; Magnoliopsida; Caryophyllales; Amaranthaceae
Gene name: transcription factor bHLH137-like
Exons: 8
Source: RefSeq, a predicted model, not a curated record
AAAUAAAUAAAUAAAAUUUUUAAAAAAAUUAUAAAAAAAAAAAAAAAAUCCAAGCAAUAAAACCAACAAUAACGAUGCUAUUGUUUUUUUCUUCUGUUUCAGACUUUAUAUAUACCUCUCUACCAUUCCUUUACUCAGAACCUCAGACUCAAAAAACACUCACUUUUCUCUCUCAUCCAUUUUUUUUCCAGAGAAUCCAAUUCAAAUCCUGUGCUAUAAUUUUCACAAAGACUUCAAUCUCCAUUAUAAUUAAUACUCAUCAAAAAGCUAUUACUUUACUUAGCUUCCAUGGCAGCUUUUCAGCAAUACCCUGCUUCUUUUUUAGUUGACUCUGUUUUCAUGCCCGCCAUUAAAACUCCUGAAAUUGGAGCUUUCAAUGAAUUUAUUGCUAAAUCCAAUCAAUUUUACGCAUCAUCUGAAAAAUCCCAGGACCCUUUUACUAUUUAUAGUCAAGAGGGUUCUUCCAUUGAUAAUGAACCUUCUUCUGUAAGUGAAAAACAGAGGACUGAGAGUUUAUCAAUGGCGGAUAAAGGUGAUAGUAGUGAUCAAAUGACUCAAAGUUCGGUUCCUGUUGAUAAAAAGAGGAAGUCUCGAAAAGGGUCUUCCUCAAAUUCUGCUAAUUCUAAGGAUGUUAAACAAGCUAAGUGUAAGAAACAGAAGGAAGAUAAAGAAGCAAUGAAAGAUACAAGUGAUGAACCACCAAAGGGUUACAUUCAUGUUAGAGCAAGGAGGGGUCAAGCCACUGAUAGCCACAGUCUUGCUGAAAGGGUGAGGAGAGAAAAAAUCAGUGAGAGAAUGAAGACGUUGCAAGCAAUUGUUCCAGGUUGUGACAAGGUCACUGGAAAGGCCCUCAUGUUGGAUGAGAUAAUCAAUUAUGUCCAAUCCUUACAAAGUCAAGUUGAGUUUUUGUCAAUGAAGCUUGCUUCUCUGGACCCCAUGGUAUAUAAUUUUGGAUUAAUGGAUCAUGAUCCUAUGAUGUUUGGAACACAGGCCAUGACCAAUGGCAUGACAUUGCCAAUGCAACCACUAGUGCAACCCACCAGCAACGGCGGUAGUAGCAUUGAUCAACCUCAAGCUUUUGCCACCACAAACGCCGUGAGCUGCUCCACCACGAGCUCGGCUUCAACUCCCACCUUUACUAGCCCUGUUGUUGAUAGCUCAACCAGUUUAAUACAACAACAGGAGCAGAAGCCAAGUUUGCUUCCUUUACAGGAUGCCGGGAGUUUAUACUGGGGAUUAAAUGAGCAGCAACGACAAAGCAUCAUUAAUCAACUUGGAUUCAGCAACAACUUGUAUUCAUUUCAGUAGAAGAUCAUCAUUCUUACUAGCUAAGUAGCUAGAAAUCUCUUUUAUUAGAAAACUAAUGCAAAGAUUAUAUGAAGAAAGAGGUGCCAACAAAGCAAGGGAAUUGAAGAGACAUUAUGUUCAAAAAAACACUAAUGAUGAAAAGAAAGAAGAAUUCUCUCUACUUUGUGUCAGCUCCAACAAUUGAGAUAGAAGAAGAAAUUCCUUUACUCCAAAUUGGCUAUGAUUCUUGAUUUUCAAUUCAAAAUAUUUCUUAUUUUUGAAGAAGCCAAAAUCAAUGGAAGCUAUAAAAAAAAUAAAAUAUAGAGAAAAAGAAAGAACAUAAAAUAAAGGACAAAUCAUAUCCAACCAAAUAAGGACCCCCAUAUCUUUUGAAGAUCCUUGUUUAUGUUCCCAUUUGACUAUCAAUUCUGUCAUCAAAAUAGUUUUAGAAACUUGUUACAGUUAAGACCUAACUAGGAUUGGACAAAAUUAUAAAUCUAUAUUUUGUCUAUGUAUUUAUUCAAUGUACCUAGCUAUUUGUUUUAUAUUACGAGUACUUAUCCAUA